AUUGAACGCUGGCGGCAUGCCUUACACAUGCAAGUCGAACGGUAACAGGUCUUCGGACGCUGACGAGUGGCGAACGGGUGAGUAAUACAUCGGAACAUGCCCAGUCGUGGGGGAUAAGUACUCGAAAGGGUAGCUAAUACCGCAUACGAUCUGAGGACGAAAGCGGGGGACCUUCGGGCCUCGCGCGAGUGGAGCGGCCGAUGGCAGAUUAGGUAGUUGGUGGGAUAAAAGCUUACCAAGCCGACGAUCUGUAGCUGGUCUGAGAGGACGACCAGCCAGACUGGGACUGAGACACGGGCCAGACUCCUACGGGAGGCAGCAGUGGGGAAUUUUGGACAAUGGGCGAAAGCCUGAUCCAGCAAUGCCGCGUGCAGGAUGAAGGCCUUCGGGUUGUAAACUGCUUUUGUACGGAACGAAAAAGUCUCCUCUAAUACAGGAGGCCCAUGACGGUACCGUAAGAAUAAGCACCGGCUAACUACGUGCCAGCAGCCGCCGUAA
This 498-nucleotide ribosomal RNA is filed under the name uncultured bacterium. RNAcentral describes it as "partial 16S ribosomal RNA". It matches the Rfam family "Bacterial small subunit ribosomal RNA", at positions 30 to 523 of the family's 1533-position model. The record is from RNAcentral.